AAAAAAUAUUGAAGGAGUCGGCCAAUAUAAAAAAUAACCCCUCUUGUUCAUUCAGCAGUCCAAGAAAAAAGAGGCCCAGGAAAUCACGUAUACUUGACAUUACUUCGACGCAACUUAAAGAAAUUAGGAGCAUAGUUAAUGAUUUUUAUAUAGUGGAAAAAAGAAGGCCUACUCUCAAGUGUACGUAUUUACCUUUAUUGUGCUUUUUUAAUUUUAAUCCUAUUUUUUAUUAGCAGUAAUCCUACAAAAGAUCAUUGACCGAUCUGUUAUUCAUGAGCCUCUGAGUAUACCAUCCUUAGCAAAACUACUAAAGAGCAUUGGAUUUAGAUGGAAGAAGACAGAUGAUAAUAGAAAGGCCUUGAUGGAAUCAUAUGACAUACGUUUGAAGAGAAUAAAAUACUUAAAACAAAUUACCGAAUUUAAAAAUCAAGGUAGAAAUAUAGUGUAUACUGACGAAACCUAUAUACACAGUAGUCAUACUUCUGACAAAGGUUGGUUUGACGAAAGCCUAAGCGGUAUACGAAAACCCAUUUCAAAAGGACAGCGAUUAAUCAUCGUUCAUGCUGGAUGAAAAAAUGGUUUUGUUAAAGACGGUCUACUUAUAUUCCGCUCAGGUUCUAAAAGUGGCGAUUACCAUGACGACAUGAAUCAUGAAAAUUUCAUGAAAUGGGUGGAAACCCAAUUACUUCCGAAUUUGCCACCAAAUUCGGUCUUAGUUUUGGACAAUGCAUCAUACCAUAAUGUACAAGUAAAAAAGAAUGUUACCUCAGGAAGUAAGAAACAACUCAUAAUUGAUUGGCUUAAGGAGCAUAAUUUAGAACAUGACGAGAAAAUGACAAAAACGGAACUUUAUGAAAUAGUUCUUCAAAAUAAAAGAUUUUAUCCAAUAAAGUGCAAACUUGACGAACUAAUGGAAAGUCACGGACACUCAACUUUGCGUUUGCCUCCAUACCACCCAGAAUUGAACCCCAUUGAAAAAAUCUGGGCCACUGUUAAAAACUGGGUAGCAAGCAGGAACACAACUUUUAAGUUAGCAGAUGUAGAAGCUUUGACGAGGCAAAAAUUUGCAGAAGUAUCUGUCGAUGAUUGGAGAAGCAUUUGUGACCAUGUCGACAAAAUUGAAGACAAAUAUAUAAAAGAUCAUAAUCUUUUUGAUAAAACUUUAGAUUCC
Anthonomus grandis grandis is the source of this 1171-nucleotide long non-coding RNA. RefSeq lists it as uncharacterized. The transcript is spliced from 3 exons. NCBI's taxonomy places the organism in Eukaryota, Metazoa, Arthropoda, Insecta, Coleoptera, Curculionidae. The record is from RefSeq and is a predicted model, not a curated record.